Molecule: non-coding RNA, 658 nt
Organism: Manis javanica (Malayan pangolin)
Lineage: Eukaryota; Metazoa; Chordata; Mammalia; Pholidota; Manidae
Source: RefSeq, a predicted model, not a curated record
AUUUACCCUUCUAUCACUAGUGCCUGGCAAUGCCUGGAACACAACAGACGUUCAGUAAGUAUUUGAUGAAUGAGUGAACCAAGUUUUACAUAACACCAUCCUCAGUGUGAGUGGAAAUGAAGAUUCAGUGUGAGCUAUGGAGAUGGGGAGGGAGGCAGCAGUGUCCAUUGACAUAAAAGCAAAGGCUUCCAGAGCAGAUGGGAUUCCCUCUGGUUUCACAUUAGAAGGCUGCCAAAAAUGGCCGGAACCUGGGGACUUGGGAAUUGUGACCAGCAAGAUCAAUGUUCACCUUGAGCUUGUUUUGUUGUCUUUGCUCAAAAAUGAGGAAAAUCUGCCUGAGAAUGAAGCAUAGAGGGGGAAGCAUUGUUGAGAUGGAAAGAGAAAAUACCCAGGAAUCUUAUCAAGGCUGAGCAGAAGAUUUGGAAACUCAUAAUGCAUUUCCCAAGAAGUUGCAAAGGUUGUGAAAUUCACAGGGCUCAACCUUUCUGAGAAUGGGAGCUGACUGGACAAGACAGAUCAUUUCCAGUAAUGUUCCCAGUCAUUCAGCAAGCUGCACUGAGCCAGCCAUGAGAAGCUAUGGAUGAUAUAGCCUGGCCCAGUACCCUUAAGGAGAUCAGAAGAUAUAAAAACCAAGUUGCUGCCAGUUGCAGAGUUUCAA